RNAcentral lists this unclassified non-coding RNA (211 nucleotides) under Hevea brasiliensis (rubber tree). Lineage: Eukaryota; Viridiplantae; Streptophyta; Magnoliopsida; Malpighiales; Euphorbiaceae. The record is from RNAcentral.
GGAGGAAUUCCUUGCAUUCCAAAAAUCUCAAUCUCUGUUGAAUCUCUAUCAGGCUUAGCAUUGGGGACCUUAGUGAUGGUCUCCUUGUGAACUUGGAGAACAUGUAUCGCCAUCCCGCUGGCGGUGGAGAGCUUCUUGUGGCAGGCGUGGCACUUGAAGUGCUUCGCCUUCUGGUGCUGCACAAGGAUUUUCUCGUCGUCGAACUCCCGGU